This 307-nucleotide ribosomal RNA is filed under the name uncultured bacterium. Its description in RNAcentral is "bacterial SSU rRNA". It matches the Rfam family "Bacterial small subunit ribosomal RNA", at positions 472 to 778 of the family's 1533-position model. The record is from RNAcentral.
ACGGUACCCAAGGAAUAAGCCUCGGCCAACUACGUGCCAGCAGCCGCGGUAAUACGUAGGAGGCGAACGUUAUUCGGAUUUACUGGGCGUAAAGGGAGCGUAGGCGGUUCCUUAAGUCAGAUGUGAAAUCUUCUGACUCAAUCGGAAGGGGUCAUUUGAUACUGAGGGACUUGAGAGCAACAGAGGGAAAUGGAAUCCCCAGUGUAGCGGUGAAAUGCGUAGAUAUUGGGGAGAACACCAGUGGCGAAGGCGAUUUCCCAGGUUGUUUCUGACGCUGAGGCUCCAAAGCGUGGGGAGCGAAGCGGAU